RNAcentral lists this long non-coding RNA (2517 nucleotides) under Podarcis lilfordi (Lilford's wall lizard). The record is from RNAcentral. Lineage: Eukaryota; Metazoa; Chordata; Lepidosauria; Squamata; Lacertidae.
GCAUUAGCAUGCAUGCCGUGCAGAAAACUAGUCUGGGCAACUCCUUGGCAUCAUUUAUUUAUUGUGAGGAAAAUGAAAAGGGGGAUGUAAAUGUAAGCAGCAGGGGCAAGGUGGGUGGGGGGAAGAGAAGGAAAACCUUUCAAAAAAAAGCCAAUGGGGAAUAAUGCUCAAGGGAAGAUAAAACAGAUUCCUAACUCAUCCAGAACAAACUCAGUUUCCCGUGACUAGUAUGUUGCUGUUUUUUACCCUCGACCCUCUUAAAUACACUUCUACCUGACGUACCACAUGGUGAGUAAGGGAGCGAUGCCCCUCUGCCUGGCUCAGUGACGCCCCAUGUUGUGAGAGGCUUCAACCUCCCCCUCCCCACUUUUCUCCUCCCUGCCACACUGAUUUUGUCUGUGAGUGUCUGGGCAGCCAGUCUGCACUUUGUGGCAAGGUUCAAGCAGACAGCUAGACACGCAGGCGAGCCGUUCUUUGAAAACGUGGCAGAAUGCCAUCUGCCGCUUCAGAGUAUUUUUUCCCCUCCCUCGCCGUCCUUGCACUCCUUUCCAACUCUCACACACGCAUGGCCCUGGCUUUUGGAGACAUGCUUACCAACUGUCAAUUAGCAGGCCUCAAUACACUGGAAAAGAAAAGCAAGCUGCCUCAUGACAAUGAUGGCAUGUGGGGUGUGUGUGUGUGUGUGUGUGUGUGUGUGUGUGGACUCUGUCAACAACACAUUUGCCAUGAAACUCGAGCCUUAGAAGGUCCCUGACCUUAAAAAAGAAUCCCAGCCUCUUGGUGCUUUCGAUGACCUCCUCUCCCUCUCUGCUUCGUGCUUCGUGAAAAGCUCCAUUGUGAUCAUUUUACGCAGCAAAGAGAUGGCGAUGAUCUCAUAGGUCUGGGUGAAAAGGGACCGUCGUUGCUCAGUGCUGUUGGAGUGAUCUCAUUGGUGUGCUGGGAUUAGGCAAAGGGAGACCAUCUGCAGAACUUUUAAAAAUAAUUAUUAUUGGUGACCGUAAUGGGGGAUGUUGUGUGUGGCAUUGCCUGGCUUUUCCCUAGUUUCUUUGGGCACGGGAAAAGCGGGGUGCUGUUGCACUUGGGAAAAGGUUCAGGUGUACAGGUGGGAAGUAGGCCAGGCUCUGGCCAGAGAUGGCCCAAGGUAUUCUGCUGCCUGAGUUUCCCCUCUCCUCUUUGUCCUUCAUUGUUUCUCUGCUGAUAUAAAAGAGCAGCACAGGAACAAGUAUGGGAGAAACUAACAAAUGACAACUGAGGGGCCCUGGGGUUCUUAGCAGAAAGAAAUGAGAGAAAAUAAGAGAAAAUUUAAACAUAUGGAGAAUUUGCAUUGUGAAGGAUUGAUCUGAGAACAGACACCCGAAGGCAUUAUGGGAUGAGGGUCGAGGAAGGUAUCAUACACCAGCACCAACUCUACAGUCCAAUUUGUGGGAUGACCAGCCUCAUAUAACCAACGUGUUUAAGUCUAAUGAAUGCAUUAAGGAGUUAAGAUCAUGGAGUAAGCUGUCCUGCCAGGCUUAGAUCACUUUGAGAGAGACUAGGUAAUCAAGCCUUUGUUUACCCCAGCAGACUACCAGAGAAGCUCAGUGUUUGAGGAGGUGCUAGCCGGUUACUCCAAGCUCAGACUGCAUGGCUCUCACAAGUCACUCUUGACUUCCCAUACCAAUAAUUUAGGAACCUUCACCUCUUUGAAAUUAAACUAAGUUUCACCGUCUGUGCAACCUUUCUGGAAAAUGAGCCUGACCUUUGGAGAUUUGGUAAGUAAACAGUUUUUAACUUACUAAAUGUGUGGUCUUUUCCUAUGUUGGGGGAAGAGGGUAUUAUUUUUGGAACUCACUUGGAAAUACAUAUUGUAAAGGUCCAUGCUUACUUUCAUGCUUUACCGUACUUUGCUGUAUAUUUUGCGAUUUAAAAUCUCUGCUGUUGUUCUCUCACCAAAGAAUAUUUGCCCCAAACUUGGAUCUUGUCAUCCAAGGAAUUAUCCUUUUUAUACCUACUUUUUACCUUGCCAACCAACACAAUGUAGAAUUGAGCUGAUUUCAGUUGACUUAAGUAUGUUUAACUUGCUUGGAUUGCGUCUUAGAGUCCUGAAAGUGACCUGCUUCUUUGUUCCACCAGUAGCAGAAGUUGAUGGAGAGUGCUUUUUGGCAGACAAAUCUGCCGCCCAUCCCUUGACCAUUAUCCCCUUUUUUCCAGGAACAAUAGAAGUAUGUUUGUCCAAGAUGAAAUCUACAAAAUGGGCACUUAUUAAGAUCUUCACAUCUGGCCAGUUAUUUUCUUUUUCUAGUUCAAGGUAACAAAAAUAAAGAGAUGACCUUUUAUAUUAUGUUAUUAUUUUUUUACUCCCAGGUUUUGCUACCUUGUUUCCUAAUGGUUGUCCUGAUUCCUUGUUUUAGGGCAAGAAAAUGAUCUAAAUAAAUAGACUUUGACAGGAGGCCAAUUCUGCUGCCAGAAUUACACUAAUUAAAUAUGCAUAAUUCUCUUAAUUAGAAAAAAAAUAAAAUAAAGACCAGAUUAAGGUUU